GGCUCGGUAGCUUAGUUGGUAAAGCGCUCGUCUAGCAUACAAGAGUCCUGGGUUCAAAUCCCAGCCUAGCAC
Non-coding RNA from Aedes aegypti (yellow fever mosquito), 72 nucleotides. The record is from Rfam. Lineage: Eukaryota; Metazoa; Arthropoda; Insecta; Diptera; Culicidae.